This 253-nucleotide ribosomal RNA is filed under the name uncultured bacterium. RNAcentral describes it as "partial 16S ribosomal RNA". It matches the Rfam family "Bacterial small subunit ribosomal RNA", at positions 524 to 776 of the family's 1533-position model. The record is from RNAcentral.
UACGAAGGGGGCUAGCGUUGUUCGGAAUUACUGGGCGUAAAGAGCGCGCAGGCGGUCGUUCAAGUCGCGUGUGAAAGCCCCCGGCUCAACUGGGGAGGGUCACGCGAUACUGAUCGACUGGAAGGCAGGAGAGGGUAGUGGAAUUCCCGGUGUAGUGGUGAAAUGCGUAGAUAUCGGGAGGAACACCUGUGGCGAAAGCGGCGCACUGGACCACAACUGACGCUGAGGCGCGAAAGCUAGGGGAGCAAACAGG